This 329-nucleotide unclassified non-coding RNA is filed under the name soil metagenome. RNAcentral describes it as "partial contains 5.8S ribosomal RNA, internal transcribed spacer 2, and large subunit ribosomal RNA". The stretch from base 1 to 120 matches the Rfam family "5.8S ribosomal RNA", at positions 35 to 154 of the family's 154-position model. The record is from RNAcentral.
GAUGAAGAACGUAGCGAAAUGCGAUAAGUAGUGUGAACUGCAGAAUUCAGUGAAUCAUCGAAUCUUUGAACGCACAUUGCGCCCCUUGGUAUCCCGAGGGGCAUGCCUGUUCGAGCGUCAUUUCACCACUCAAGCCUGGCUUGGUGUUGGGCGACGUCCCCUUUGGGGACGCGCCUCGAAACGCUCGGCGGCGUGGCACCGGCUUUAAGCGUAGCAGAAUCUUUCGCUUUGGAAGUCGGGGCCCCGUCUGCCGGAAGACCUACUCGCAAGGUUGACCUCGGAUCAGGCAGGGAUACCCGCUGAACUUAAGCAUAUCAAUAAGCGGAGGA